AGUGACGGAACAAUUACUCACUGAAAAAAGAAGAAAAGCAAAAAAACAAAAACAAAACAAACAAACAAAAAAAAAAAAAACAUAACGGCCAUUGCAUCGAGAAUCUGACGGGGAAAAAAAGCAUUUGACGAAAACACCAAAAGAGGGACUUUAAUGUAUUAUGCAAGCAAACGCAAUCAAGGGUCCGUCGAGUGCGAAGCCCAAGGACUGAGGAUUUGCGAGUGCGUACGCGCCCGUCACAUCAGUGAAAAGUGAAAAGGCAACCUUCAAGGAUUGACUCGAAUAUCUGCCUCAGCGAUACUUCAUCAGGGCUGCACAGGCGGCAGGAAUUGAAGCUGCCACUUUCCAGUUGAGAGAUGACAACUUGAGCCCAGCUGCCUCUUUAGAAGCAGAAACACAUAUUUGGACUCUUUAUGCUUAUGCAGAAAAUGCAUUUUCCAUUAUGGAGUGCUCACUCCCAUCGGCUGUAAUAGAAAGAAGAAAAAAAAACUCCUUUAUCGUAUUUUAUUUUC
Syngnathoides biaculeatus (alligator pipefish) is the source of this 512-nucleotide long non-coding RNA. RefSeq lists it as uncharacterized. Lineage: Eukaryota; Metazoa; Chordata; Actinopteri; Syngnathiformes; Syngnathidae. The transcript has 4 exons. The record is from RefSeq and is a predicted model, not a curated record.